This 379-nucleotide ribosomal RNA is filed under the name uncultured bacterium. RNAcentral describes it as "bacterial SSU rRNA". It matches the Rfam family "Bacterial small subunit ribosomal RNA", at positions 29 to 410 of the family's 1533-position model. The record is from RNAcentral.
AUUGAACGCUGGCGGUAGGCCUAACACAUGCAAGUCGAACGCGAAAGUCCUUCGGGAUGAGUAGAGUGGCGGACGGGUGAGUAACGCGUAGGAAUCUGUCCUGUAGUGGGGGAUAACGUUUCGAAAGGAACGCUAAUACCGCAUACGCCCUACGGGGAAAGGCGGGGGAGUCUUCGGACCUCGUGCUAGAGGAGGAGCCUGCGUCGGAUUAGCUAGUUGGUGAGGUAAAGGCUCACCAAGGCGACGAUCCGUAGCUGGUCUGAGAGGAUGAUCAGCCACACCGGAACUGAGACACGGUCCGGACUCCUACGGGAGGCAGCAGUGGGGAAUAUUGCGCAAUGGGCGAAAGCCUGACGCAGCCAUAACCGCGUGAGUGAAG